Musa acuminata subsp. malaccensis (wild Malaysian banana) is the source of this 482-nucleotide non-coding RNA. Lineage: Eukaryota; Viridiplantae; Streptophyta; Magnoliopsida; Zingiberales; Musaceae. The record is from RefSeq and is a predicted model, not a curated record.
GGAAGUAGCUGCGCCGAUGGCACGCCAUGUUCAUCAAGGGAAUAAUGCUAAAGAAGGCAUUCAUAUAAAGCUGAAGGGUUUUGCAAUUGGCAAUGGACAAAGCAAUACACUGGUUAUGCACUGGGUACGGGAAUUAUUAAGGAAUCUGACUACAAAAGCAUCAGCACUAUGUUCUAUCCAGCAUAUGAACUUGCCAUCAAACUUUGUGGAACGUCAAAGACUGUGUCUUGCUUGGCGUCAUGUCAUUUGCGACACCAUUGUCAGUUCAAUCACGAAAUAGCUAGAAAUUAUUAUGAUAUUAGGAAGCAAUGUGAAGGCAGCCUGUGCUAUGACUUCUCCUCGAGUCCCUUUAAGCGACAUCUAGCAGUUCGUCCGAAAGCUUGGAUUGAGCCGCGGUGGCCGCUGGACGGAGCCCCAGCCUCCACCCCGUACAGUCUCCUCAACCUGUCGAUGACGGGGCGGAACCCGGCGCGGAGCGGCAC